UGGCGGUGUUAGAGGUGAAUUCUUGGAUCGCCGCCAGACAAACUACAGCGAAAGCAUUUGCCAAGGAUGUUUUCAUUGAUCUGGAGCGAAAGUCAGAGGUUCGAAGACGAUCAGAUACCGUCCUAGUUCUGACCAUAAACGAUGCCAACUGACGAUCCGUGGUGGUUCUUUUAUUGGCCCCACGGGCAGUCCCCGGGAAACCCUUAAGUCUUUGGGCUCCGGGGGAAGUAUGGUUGCAAAGCUGAAACUUAAAGGAAUUGACGGAAGGGCACCACCAGGAGUGGAGCCUGCGGCUUAAUUCGACUCAACACGGGAAAACUCACCCGGCCCGGACACUAUGAGGAUUGACAGAUUGAUAGCUCUUUCUUGAUUCGGUGGUUGGUGGUGCAUGGCCGUUCUUAGUUGGUGGAGCGAUUUGUCUGGUUAAUUCCGAUAACGAACGAGACUCUGACCUGCUAAAUAGUAUGCUCGUUCCCUGUGCUCGUAUAGGCUGGGCGUUUGCUGCCUUUCGGGGUGGUGACGUGUUGGUCGGCGGGUACGGCGCGGGUAUAUACUUCUUAGAGGGACCGGCGGCGCAAUAGUCGCACGAAAUUGAGCAAUAACAGGUCUGUGAUGCCCUUAGAUGUCCGGGGCCGCACGUGCGCUACAAUGACGGUUUCAGCGAGUUUGGAAUCCUUGCCCGAAAGGGUUCAGGUAAACUGUAGCAUAACCGUCGUGACUGGGAUCGGGGCUUGCAAUUCUUCCCCGUGAACGAGGAAUUCCUGGUAAGUGCAAGUCAUUAGCUUGCGCUGAUUACGUCCCUGCCCUUUGUACACACCGCCCGUCGCUACUACCGAUUGAAUGGUUUAGCGAGGUCAUCGGAUUGGCGCCAUUGUACCGGUUUCGGCUGCUCCACCGGUGCUGAGAAGACGACCGAACUUGAUCAUUUAAAGGAAGUAAAAGUCAUAACAAGGUUUCCGUAGGUGAACCUGCGAAAGGAUCAUU
RNAcentral lists this ribosomal RNA (984 nucleotides) under Meiogymnophallus minutus. Its description in RNAcentral is "SSU rRNA". It matches the Rfam family "Eukaryotic small subunit ribosomal RNA", at positions 897 to 1830 of the family's 1831-position model. Lineage: Eukaryota; Metazoa; Platyhelminthes; Trematoda; Gymnophallidae. The record is from RNAcentral.